UCUCCCCGGGGAGGUGGCGCCUCAAGGUCGACCUCUGCUGUGAUGCAGACAGGAUCCUGCUGCAGUCCCCUCAGUCCACUUAGUAAAUUGCUGUGUGGGCCAAGAUGUGGACUCCGCCGGCCCCGACCCUCCGCUGUUCCCGGUCCCGGAUUAGCUAAUGAAUACCCGCGUAGCCACAGACCCCGAGCCCGCAGACUGCGCUCAGAUGCCAGCACUGAGGGUUAUUUUAUUUUAGCCCAUCUUCAAACAGUGAGGAGGUGGAAGCUGAGGUUCCUUUCUCCACGCACCUUCCAGCGACUUCUGCUCAAGAACUGACCUCUAUGUCUGCCUCCCAACGCUGGCAUCGCACCUUGCUCUGCGAGAGACCCUUGUGUCAGCGCUCUUGAGCUGUAUUGAUUUUCAGAAGACUUUUAAGUAUAAAUCACAUUUUCCCCAAACUGAAUCACAACUCUAACAAAUCCCAGCUACGCAGAAAAGCCUAGUUGGGUCCUGUGGUAUAACCUAAAUUGAUAUUCUCCAUAAAUCCACAGCUAUUGCAUUCAUAUAUUCACAUUUCCUAUUCAAGGUGGUAAAGGAAGUGCAAUUUUAAAGAAAUGAUUAUUUAUACUCCCUGGUGUUCAGGCUUGAGGGGUUCAAGAGACAUUCAGACAGCUCUCAGAAGAACAUAAACCUUGCAAAAGUACAUGGAAUUUAUCAACGACAUUGACAUAGGGCCCACGUGACGUAUAUGUUCAAUAUUAAAGACGUUUGCUCUCUCUAAUAGUUAAAAGCCACGAGGGAAAUUUGUAAAAACUCCAGUCUAAUUAAAGUUUGUACUUGAAAUUCCAGAUUCCAUGUGGCGUGAACAUUUCUGAGCUUUUCAUCAGAAGAGGAAGGGUCGGGUUUUCAAGUAGACGCGUGUAAAGACUUCGGGACAGAGGCACCUGCGGCUUGAACGAGUGGCCCCGUUAGCUCCUGGGGAAACAAUGUCAUUUUUAGCAUGCAGUGAAUGAGUCCCAUGUAUCAGCCACUGUCCACGACUGGGAAGAAAAGGUUGAAUGAGAUCCCGUCCUUCUCUUGAAUAUGCAGACCAGAUCAAGAGCAUCCUUCCUCCGUGUCUACCCCAGAAGCUGCCUGACUUCUAGAUGAUGCCAGCACCUGCAGUCCUGACGCAUCUCUGCCUUCUGAAACUGCACGUUCUGCCUGCCAGCAAUUCACAGAUACACGAACACUCCCAUGUCUUAUUUAAAUUGUAAACCUUUCUCGAUCCAGCCUCUCUGCGGAUUAUAGCCUCUCCCUCCCUCUGCAGUGAACUUCCGGAAAGUUUCAAAGUGCAGUCUGCAUUCUUUAUCAACUUCCUCCUCCUUCAUCUCCUUCACCCUCAGACCCUGCAAAACUCCACUCAGAGCCAGCACACUGCACAGAUGUCUCUCAGUCCCCCCUCUUCCCCUGGCCUUGACAGCUUUGCACACUGGGGACUGCAUGCUCUGUCCUUGACUUGGGGUUUCCUGGCAGCACCUGGAGGGGCCUGGCUGCAACUCUUCUCUGCUAAGGUUCCCAUGAAUCCCUGGAGUCUUUCAUGGUGUGAACGGCUACUUUUUUUGGGUCGUGUUUAUUGAAAAGUUUCAGAAACUUCUGCAUCCUUAGUUCCCCAAGUUAGGGUUUUUAACUAUUACUUCUCUCUGGAGGGAAUCAGGGCUGGUUGGAGAAGGCUGAUUUCGUAAACAGAAUGGGGUAACCUCUAACACAGCCUUGCACUGGAAAGCAGGGAUGCACUAGGAGCCUUCUGAGGUCUUGGGACAAGCUGGGGCAAAACUGGCACAGCUUAAUGUCACAAACAGCCGUAACUGCAGUGGCUCCAAAACAUUUCAAUUACGUUGAAGUCUAUUUGUUCAUAAUGUUAUUUUCUAAAAUACAUUGAUUACCUUUGAAGAGUGCUAAGGAACCCAACUCAUUAUUUUUAAAAGCUGGCAAAGAAAAGAAACGAAGUGACCAUUUAUUAUCUUGACUUUCUUGUACAAACUAUUCCCAGACUAUAACCAAAUAAUUGAUGAUGGCAAGUUUCUCUCCAUAGAUGCAAGCCAGCUAAUAAGUGAGGCAGGGAUGUUAGAAUUAGAAUAGCACAGUUUUGCAGGCCCUUAUGAUUUAGUGAAUCUUGGCAUUGAAUGUAUAUGGCAGAGGGACAGAGGGAGAGAGAGAGCAAACCCAUCCCAGAUGGAAGCCCACCACGCUGCCUGUAGCCUGUCCUUCCUCAGAUAAUCAAACCUGACUCUGGCCAAGCCUGUACAGCAUAGGAUUCUCCAGGGGCCCAAAUCUGGCCCACAUUUGUAGAAAUAAAAGUUCUAUGGAAGAUAGCCACAUGCAUUUGUUCAGGGAGCUGUGACAGGCAGUGUCAGCCACAGAGCUUCGUGUAUUUACCAUCAC
Molecule: non-coding RNA, 2403 nt
Organism: Heterocephalus glaber (naked mole-rat)
Lineage: Eukaryota; Metazoa; Chordata; Mammalia; Rodentia; Bathyergidae
Source: RefSeq, a predicted model, not a curated record